Molecule: non-coding RNA, 276 nt
Organism: Vicia faba (fava bean)
Lineage: Eukaryota; Viridiplantae; Streptophyta; Magnoliopsida; Fabales; Fabaceae
Source: the annotation of a GenBank genome assembly
AUGUUCAGUUAUGGCACAAAAUCGAGACUUCAACGCACAUCUAACAUCGAUACAACCUCGGUAUCCAGAUUUAAUAAAACAAUAUGGUAUCGAUACGAUACGAUACUUCGCACAACCAAAACAUAUACUGUCAACAAUUUUUUUUUUUACAGAUUUUCUCAUAAUAACAUUUCCAAAACAGAUCAACUUAUUAACACAAACAGCAACAUUUUUACUCAAAAGAUAUCAAACAUAGACAUUAUCAACAAAUUGCUUUCAAAAUCUAUCACGGCAUAA